This 374-nucleotide ribosomal RNA is filed under the name uncultured organism. Its description in RNAcentral is "partial 16S ribosomal RNA". It matches the Rfam family "Bacterial small subunit ribosomal RNA", at positions 527 to 897 of the family's 1533-position model. The record is from RNAcentral.
GUAGGUGGCAAGCGUUGUCCGGAAUUAUUGGGCGUAAAGCGCGCGCAGGCGGUCCUUUAAGUCUGAUGUGAAAGCCCACGGGCUCAACCGUGGAGGGUCAUUGGAAACUGGGGGACUUGAGUACAGAAGAGGAAAGCGGAAUUCCAAGUGUAGCGGUGAAAUGCGUAGAGAUUUGGAGGAACACCAGUGGCGAAGGCGGCUUUCUGGUCUGUAACUGACGCUGAGGCGCGAAAGCGUGGGGAGCAAACAGGAUUAGAUACCCUGGUAGCCCACGCCGUAAACGAUGAGUGCUAAGUGUUAGGGGGUUUCCGCCCCUUAGUGCUGCAGCUAACGCAUUAAGCACUCCGCCUGGGGAGUACGGCCGCAAAGGCUGA